AUUGAGUAUAAGAAUUACUAAAUCAAGAGAUGACAAGAUCAAAUAAUCUCUUCAAUGGUAAAACAAGAAUGAAAGUUAAAACAACACAAGAAAAUCAUCUAAACUCCUAUCAUGAACACCUAAAGAUAAAGACUAGGAACAGAAUCCCUCAUUCAACCAACCUCUAGACAAUUCUGUUGCAAGACAUUAUCGGUGCCAACACAUAACGAGUUCAUGAUCUCACUCAGAAGGAACAAGUGUGAUCAUAAGUCCAUAAUGUUUUGCUAAAAACUCAUGGGACGUGCUUAUUCCCAAAUCCCAACUGAUUCAACCACUUAUGGUUUCUUGUGAAAUUCUAUAGUAUAUACUCAUGUAUAGAUGACAAGUACAGGGGUCUUGUACCAUGCACAAGUCUCUUUUUUAUCAUUGGAUAAAAAAGACACAUAAUAUUUUAUUUAAUUUAAUUGUGAGAUUAUUCAAACUAGCUUGUUCAUCAUUCAAGAUUUGUCUCAUUUAUACGAUAAAACU
Molecule: long non-coding RNA, 507 nt
Filed under: Medicago truncatula (barrel medic)
Lineage: Eukaryota; Viridiplantae; Streptophyta; Magnoliopsida; Fabales; Fabaceae
Description: lncRNA gene3244
Source: RNAcentral